RNAcentral lists this ribosomal RNA (425 nucleotides) under uncultured bacterium. RNAcentral describes it as "bacterial SSU rRNA". It matches the Rfam family "Bacterial small subunit ribosomal RNA", at positions 954 to 1392 of the family's 1533-position model. The record is from RNAcentral.
GCUAAACGCGAAGAACCUUACCUGGUCUUGACAUGUCUGGAAUCCCGAAGAGAUUUGGGAGUGCCGCAAGGAACCAGAACACAGGUGCUGCAUGGUUGUCGUCAGCUCGUGUCGUGAGAUGUUGGGUUAAGUCCCGCAACGAGCGCAACCCUUUUAGUCUGUUGUAUUUUUCAGGCUAGACUGCCCUGGCAACAGGGAGGAAGGAGGGGAUGAUGUCAGGUCAGUAUUACCCUUACGUCUGGGGCUACAAACACGCUACAAUGGCCGGUACAAAGGGCAGCCAAGUCGCGAGACGGAGCAAAUCCCAUCAAAGCCGGUCUCAGUUCGGAUUGCAGGCUGAAACUCGCCUGCAUGAAGCUGGAAUCGCUAGUAACGGUAGGUCAGCUAUACUACCGUGAAUACGUUCCCGGGUCUUGUACACACCG